GUGAAUCAUCGAAUCUUUGAACGCACAUUGCGCUCUUUGGUAUUCCGAAGAGCACGCCUGUUUGAGUAUCGAAAAAACCAUCACGACUUGGUCUUGGAGUUCGCUCCGAUCGACUUUGAGUCGUGGAUUUGGAAUGUCUACCGUAGGAGGCAAUCUCAAAAUAGAGCGUUGGAAGCUGGAUCUCCUUUACUGGGAUCGCUGCCCGAAAUUGUAUGAAUUGAAACCCUUUUAACCGAGGGAGUCUUCAUUUUUCUUUCUUGCAGCUUUUCGAGCCUGGUGGAGAAACGGUCGACCGAUACA
Molecule: unclassified non-coding RNA, 300 nt
Filed under: uncultured fungus
Lineage: Eukaryota; Fungi
Description: sequence contains 5.8S rRNA gene, ITS2
Rfam family: 5.8S ribosomal RNA (bases 1-71)
Source: RNAcentral